Anolis carolinensis (green anole) is the source of this 1063-nucleotide long non-coding RNA. RefSeq lists it as uncharacterized. Lineage: Eukaryota; Metazoa; Chordata; Lepidosauria; Squamata; Anolidae. The record is from RefSeq and is a predicted model, not a curated record. The transcript has 2 exons.
UGGUUGAGCCUUCUGGCUCCGAUACUAGGAGACGGGGUCGUAAGACUCCUCGUGAGUCAGACUCUUUUGAGGAGCGUGAAAGGAAACGGCUCCGGGACUUAUUUGCAGAACCAACAGAUGAGGACUCUUUUGAGGGUUUUACCGAGGGAAUGGAGGAAGAAAUGGUCAGCUCGGAGGAGGAUGACAUGGAGUGGACUCGUGUGAGGGAGGAUUUGGGUGUCCCCGGUAAUGAAAGCAUGGGAGGCGAUUGGCGGGUUGCAGGAUCAGACCCAUGGACGGGCUGGAGGGAUGGAGCGGGAUCCACAGCUGGGGAUGCUGUGGGGCGUAGUCAAAGGUGUUUUAGCUCUGAUGAGGAUGAUGAUGAUGAGGCACCUGGGAUUAGGAUGGCAGCUGACAGCGAUGAUGAGUUUGAACUGGGAUAAAAUGGGGUUUAGGAUCAAUGUCUAAUUGCGUUGGGCAAGGUAAUCUGGACGAACGCUUGGGCUCUUGUUGGGGAACUUCCUGAAGACGGGUGUGAUUCGUUGCUGGAUACCUUGGACCUCCGUCGUCUUUUUGACGGACAUUAAUUACCUACUCUGGAUUGACGCUGGACUGACUGACUUCGACCCCGGAUUAUCCCUUCUGUGGCUAUCGGUGGGACUUGUGGAAUUCUAGACGUCUGCACUUGGCUUUCGACCUCGGACCGGAUUGAGACCCUGCUGACUGCCGUUACCCUGAUUGAUGUGCCUGGACCCGGAUUUCGCUCGUUGCACGGAGGAGUAAACAGCCUGAUUUACUCAUCUGUAGCUUUUGAGUAGCAGAGAGGAAUCUGCUGCCAGUUUAUUGUGUUCAUUCUGACCUCUGUUAAUCCUCUUUUGUUUGCUAAUCUUGCCAGGCUGAAGUAAACACUUUUGAUUUAAUCCGGAUUAAACUCCUGUUUAAUCCGGUUUAUUCUUUUGAACCUUUUUAGUUCAAACGGAGCUGUUUUUGUUACUUUUCACACUGAAGUCAAGUGUUUGCCUAAUCCUUUGUUUCCUACGGGCAUUUUCAGUUUUGUAACCUCAAUAAACUGAGUUUUACUCUA